Molecule: ribosomal RNA, 253 nt
Filed under: uncultured bacterium
Lineage: Bacteria
Description: partial 16S ribosomal RNA
Rfam family: Bacterial small subunit ribosomal RNA
Source: RNAcentral
CACGUAGGGCGCGAGCGUUGUCCGGAAUUAUUGGGCGUAAAGAGCUCGUAGGCGGCCUGUUGCGUCCGCUGUGAAAGCCCGGGGCUUAACCCCGGGCUUGCGGUUGAUACGGGCGGGCUGGAGUUCGGUAGGGGAGACUGGAAUUCCUGGUGUAGCGGUGAAAUGCGCAGAUAUCAGGAGGAACACCGGUGGCGAAGGCGGGUCUCUGGGCCGAUACUGACGCUGAGGAGCGAAAGCGUGGGGAGCGAACAGG